This 2904-nucleotide ribosomal RNA is filed under the name Escherichia coli. RNAcentral describes it as "23S ribosomal RNA". It matches the Rfam family "Bacterial large subunit ribosomal RNA". Lineage: Bacteria; Pseudomonadati; Pseudomonadota; Gammaproteobacteria; Enterobacterales; Enterobacteriaceae. The record is from RNAcentral.
GGUUAAGCGACUAAGCGUACACGGUGGAUGCCCUGGCAGUCAGAGGCGAUGAAGGACGUGCUAAUCUGCGAUAAGCGUCGGUAAGGUGAUAUGAACCGUUAUAACCGGCGAUUUCCGAAUGGGGAAACCCAGUGUGUUUCGACACACUAUCAUUAACUGAAUCCAUAGGUUAAUGAGGCGAACCGGGGGAACUGAAACAUCUAAGUACCCCGAGGAAAAGAAAUCAACCGAGAUUCCCCCAGUAGCGGCGAGCGAACGGGGAGCAGCCCAGAGCCUGAAUCAGUGUGUGUGUUAGUGGAAGCGUCUGGAAAGGCGCGCGAUACAGGGUGACAGCCCCGUACACAAAAAUGCACAUACUGUGAGCUCGAUGAGUAGGGCGGGACACGUGGUAUCCUGUCUGAAUAUGGGGGGACCAUCCUCCAAGGCUAAAUACUCCUGACUGACCGAUAGUGAACCAGUACCGUGAGGGAAAGGCGAAAAGAACCCCGGCGAGGGGAGUGAAAAAGAACCUGAAACCGUGUACGUACAAGCAGUGGGAGCCUCUUUAUGGGGUGACUGCGUACCUUUUGUAUAAUGGGUCAGCGACUUAUAUUCUGUAGCAAGGUUAACCGAAUAGGGGAGCCGAAGGGAAACCGAGUCUUAACUGGGCGUUAAGUUGCAGGGUAUAGACCCGAAACCCGGUGAUCUAGCCAUGGGCAGGUUGAAGGUUGGGUAACACUAACUGGAGGACCGAACCGACUAAUGUUGAAAAAUUAGCGGAUGACUUGUGGCUGGGGGUGAAAGGCCAAUCAAACCGGGAGAUAGCUGGUUCUCCCCGAAAGCUAUUUAGGUAGCGCCUCGUGAAUUCAUCUCCGGGGGUAGAGCACUGUUUCGGCAAGGGGGUCAUCCCGACUUACCAACCCGAUGCAAACUGCGAAUACCGGAGAAUGUUAUCACGGGAGACACACGGCGGGUGCUAACGUCCGUCGUGAAGAGGGAAACAACCCAGACCGCCAGCUAAGGUCCCAAAGUCAUGGUUAAGUGGGAAACGAUGUGGGAAGGCCCAGACAGCCAGGAUGUUGGCUUAGAAGCAGCCAUCAUUUAAAGAAAGCGUAAUAGCUCACUGGUCGAGUCGGCCUGCGCGGAAGAUGUAACGGGGCUAAACCAUGCACCGAAGCUGCGGCAGCGACACUAUGUGUUGUUGGGUAGGGGAGCGUUCUGUAAGCCUGUGAAGGUGUACUGUGAGGUAUGCUGGAGGUAUCAGAAGUGCGAAUGCUGACAUAAGUAACGAUAAAGCGGGUGAAAAGCCCGCUCGCCGGAAGACCAAGGGUUCCUGUCCAACGUUAAUCGGGGCAGGGUGAGUCGACCCCUAAGGCGAGGCCGAAAGGCGUAGUCGAUGGGAAACAGGUUAAUAUUCCUGUACUUGGUGUUACUGCGAAGGGGGGACGGAGAAGGCUAUGUUGGCCGGGCGACGGUUGUCCCGGUUUAAGCGUGUAGGCUGGUUUUCCAGGCAAAUCCGGAAAAUCAAGGCUGAGGCGUGAUGACGAGGCACUACGGUGCUGAAGCAACAAAUGCCCUGCUUCCAGGAAAAGCCUCUAAGCAUCAGGUAACAUCAAAUCGUACCCCAAACCGACACAGGUGGUCAGGUAGAGAAUACCAAGGCGCUUGAGAGAACUCGGGUGAAGGAACUAGGCAAAAUGGUGCCGUAACUUCGGGAGAAGGCACGCUGAUAUGUAGGUGAAGCGACUUGCUCGUGGAGCUGAAAUCAGUCGAAGAUACCAGCUGGCUGCAACUGUUUAUUAAAAACACAGCACUGUGCAAACACGAAAGUGGACGUAUACGGUGUGACGCCUGCCCGGUGCCGGAAGGUUAAUUGAUGGGGUUAGCGGUAACGCGAAGCUCUUGAUCGAAGCCCCGGUAAACGGCGGCCGUAACUAUAACGGUCCUAAGGUAGCGAAAUUCCUUGUCGGGUAAGUUCCGACCUGCACGAAUGGCGUAAUGAUGGCCAGGCUGUCUCCACCCGAGACUCAGUGAAAUUGAACUCGCUGUGAAGAUGCAGUGUACCCGCGGCAAGACGGAAAGACCCCGUGAACCUUUACUAUAGCUUGACACUGAACAUUGAGCCUUGAUGUGUAGGAUAGGUGGGAGGCUUUGAAGUGUGGACGCCAGUCUGCAUGGAGCCGGCCUUGAAAUACCACCCUUUAAUGUUUGAUGUUCUAACGUUGGCCCCUGACCGGGGUUGCGGACAGUGUCUGGUGGGUAGUUUGACUGGGGCGGUCUCCUCCUAAAGAGUAACGGAGGAGCACGAAGGUUGGCUAAUCCUGGUCGGACAUCAGGAGGUUAGUGCAAUGGCAUAAGCCAGCUUGACUGCGAGCGUGACGGCGCGAGCAGGUGCGAAAGCAGGUCAUAGUGAUCCGGUGGUUCUGAAUGGAAGGGCCAUCGCUCAACGGAUAAAAGGUACUCCGGGGAUAACAGGCUGAUACCGCCCAAGAGUUCAUAUCGACGGCGGUGUUUGGCACCUCGAUGUCGGCUCAUCACAUCCUGGGGCUGAAGUAGGUCCCAAGGGUAUGGCUGUUCGCCAUUUAAAGUGGUACGCGAGCUGGGUUUAGAACGUCGUGAGACAGUUCGGUCCCUAUCUGCCGUGGGCGCUGGAGAACUGAGGGGGGCUGCUCCUAGUACGAGAGGACCGGAGUGGACGCAUCACUGGUGUUCGGGUUGUCAUGCCAAUGGCACUGCCCGGUAGCUAAAUGCGGAAGAGAUAAGUGCUGAAAGCAUCUAAGCACGAAACUUGCCCCGAGAUGAGUUCUCCCUGACUCCUUGAGAGUCCUGAAGGAACGUUGAAGACGACGACGUUGAUAGGCCGGGUGUGUAAGCGCAGCGAUGCGUUGAGCUAACCGGUACUAAUGAACCGUGAGGCUUAACCUU